Molecule: ribosomal RNA, 256 nt
Filed under: uncultured bacterium
Lineage: Bacteria
Description: partial 16S ribosomal RNA
Rfam family: Bacterial small subunit ribosomal RNA
Source: RNAcentral
ACGGGUGAGUAACACGUAUGAAACCUGCCCGUAGCAGGGGGAUAAGCGGAAGAGAUUCCGUCUAAUACCGCGUAACAACCCAUGGAGGCAUCUCUGUGGGUUUAAAGGAAGCGAUUCCGGCUACGGAUGGUCAUGCGUCGCAUUAGCUUGUUGGCGGGGUAACGGCCCACCAAGGCGACGAUGCGUAGGGGUUCUGAGAGGAAGGUCCCCCACACUGGUACUGAGACACGGACCAGACUCCUACGGAAGGCAGCAG